This 354-nucleotide ribosomal RNA is filed under the name uncultured bacterium. Its description in RNAcentral is "bacterial SSU rRNA". It matches the Rfam family "Bacterial small subunit ribosomal RNA", at positions 22 to 356 of the family's 1533-position model. The record is from RNAcentral.
GCUCAGGAUGAACGCUGGCGGCGUGCUUAACACAUGCAAGUCGAACGAAGCACCUUAUUCUGAUUUCUUCGGAAUGAAAAAUUCGGUGACUGAGUGGCGGACGGGUGAGUAACGCGUGGGUAACCUGCCUCAUACAGGGGGAUAACAGUUAGAAAUGACUGCUAAUACCGCAUAAGACCACAGCACCGCAUGGUGCAGGGGUAAAAACUCCGGUGGUAUGAGAUGGACCCGCGUCUGAUUAGGUAGUUGGUGGGGUAGCGGCCUACCAAGCCGACGAUCAGUAGCCGACCUGAGAGGGUGACCGGCCACAUUGGGACUGAGACACGGCCCAAACUCCUACGGGAGGCAGCAGUA